GAGUUUGAUUAUGGCUCAGGAUGAACGCUAGCGAUAGGCUUAACACAUGCAAGUCGAGGGGCAGCAUAAUUUUAGCUUGCUAAGAUUGAUGGCGACCGGCGCACGGGUGCGUAACGCGUAUGCAACCUGCCUGUAAUUAGGGGAUAGCUCGGUGAAAGUCGAAUUAAUACCCUAUAUUCUAUGUUUUUCGCAUGAUUGAUAUAGGAAAGAUUUAUUGAUUACAGAUGGGCAUGCGUUCCAUUAGCUUGUUGGUAAGGUAACGGCUUACCAAGGCAACGAUGGAUAGGGGGACUGAGAGGUUGACCCCCCACACUGGUACUGAGACACGGACCAGACUCCUACGGGAGGCAGCAGUGAGGAAUAUUGGUCAAUGGGCGCAAGCCUGAACCAGCCAAGUCGCGUGAAGGACGACGGUCCUAUGGAUUGUAAACUUCUUUUGUAGAGGAAUAAUGAUGGCCACGAGUGGCUGAAGGGAAUUAU
This 480-nucleotide ribosomal RNA is filed under the name Porphyromonas gingivicanis. Its description in RNAcentral is "bacterial SSU rRNA". It matches the Rfam family "Bacterial small subunit ribosomal RNA", at positions 9 to 478 of the family's 1533-position model. Lineage: Bacteria; Pseudomonadati; Bacteroidota; Bacteroidia; Bacteroidales; Porphyromonadaceae. The record is from RNAcentral.